RNAcentral lists this ribosomal RNA (1009 nucleotides) under Paratylenchus elachistus. RNAcentral's name for it is "partial large subunit ribosomal RNA". It matches the Rfam family "Eukaryotic large subunit ribosomal RNA", at positions 80 to 938 of the family's 3401-position model. The record is from RNAcentral. Lineage: Eukaryota; Metazoa; Nematoda; Chromadorea; Rhabditida; Tylenchulidae.
UUAGUAACGGCGAGUGAACCGGGAUCAGUCCAGCGCUAAAUCUCGGCGUUUCGGCGCCGCGACAUGUAGCGUAUAGGCGGUGUGCUUGACCAUGGCCCUGGGCACAAGUUUCCCAUGACCGGGGCGCCAGAGAAGGUGAUAGACCUGUAGCGUCCGGGGCCUAGGUUGACUGCUCUGUCUUGGAGUCGGGUUGUCUGGGAUUGCAGCCCAAAGUAGGUGGUAUACUUCAUCUAAGACUAAAUAUGCCUACGAGACCGAUAGCGAAAAAGUACCGUGAGGGAAAGUUGCAAAGCACUUUGAAGAGAGAGUUAAAGAGGACGUGAAACCGGUAGGAUGGAAACGGAUAGAGCCAGCGAAGUCGCUCGUAUUCAACCAAAGGCUGGGGGCAUCGGUUUGUCGGGUUACUAAUCGUGCCUGGCUUGCCUUUUUGUCCUCAGUUGAGGUGCAUUUGCGGGCGUUUGCGCUGAGACUUGCGGGUCAGCUUCUGGACCUGGGCCUAGAGGCCGUCCUCUGGGCGGAACUUGGGCACGGUGACGGUUGUUUGGCCUGCUCGUACAACGGCUUGGCCUACGGACUGCGGCGCUGCCGUUGCUCUCUUGUGGUGUCAUCGCUUGCGAUGGCCUGCUUGGGGGUAGCGGUUGUGUUGUUUGUUCCCAAGUCGGCUCUCGGUGUAAAAGCUGGUCACCUAUCCGACCCGUCUUGAAACACGGACCAAGGAGUUUAGCGUAUACGCGAGCCAUUGGGUGUUAAAACUCACAGGCGUAAUGAAAGUAAAGGCCCAGCCGCUGGGCUGACAUGCGAGUUUGCGGGCCUCGGCCUUCAGAUGCAGCAUGGUCCCGUUUCAGCCGCUUGCGGCGGAGCGGAGACAGAGCGUAUGCGCUGAGACCCGAAAGAUGGUGAACUAUUCCUGAGCAGGAUGAAGCCAGAGGAAACUCUGGUGGAAGUCCGAAGCGAUUCUGACGUGCAAAUCGAUCGUCUGACUUGGGUAUAGGGGCGAAAGACUAAUCGA